GAGGAAGGCCCUUAUGGUUGUAAAGCACUUUAAAGCGAGGAGGAGGCUACUUUAGAUAAUACCUAGAGAUAGUGGACGUUACUCGCAGAAUAAGCACCGGCUAACUCUGUGCCAGCAGCCGCGGUAAUACAGAGGGUGCAAGCGUUAAUCGGAUUUACUGGGCGUAAAGCGCGCGUAGGCGGCUAAUUAAGUCAAAUGUGAAAUCCCCGAGCUUAACUUGGGAAUUGCAUUCGAUACUGGUUAGCUAGAGUGUGGGAGAGGAUGGUAGAAUUCCAGGUGUAGCGGUGAAAUGCGUAGAGAUCUGGAGGAAUACCGAUGGCGAAGGCAGCCAUCUGGCCUAACACUGACGCUGAGGUGCGAAAGCAUGGGGAGCAAACAGGAUUAGAUACCCUGGUAGUCCAUGCCGUAAACGAUGUCUACUAGCCGUUGGGGCCUUUGAGGCUUUAGUGGCGCAGCUAACGCGAUAAGUAGACCGCCUGGGGAGUACGGUCGCAAGACUAAAACUCAAAUGAAUUGACGGGGGCCCGCACAAGCGGUGGAGCAUGUGGUUUAAUUCGAUGCAACGCGAAGAACCUUACCUGGCCUUGACAUAGUAAGAACUUUCCAGAGAUGGAUUGGUGCCUUCGGGAACUUACAUACAGGUGCUGCAUGGCUGUCGUCAGCUCGUGUCGUGAGAUGUUGGGUUAAGUCCCGCAACGAGCGCAACCCUUUUCCUUAUUUGCCAGCGAGUAAUGUCGGGAACUUUAAGGAUACUGCCAGUGACAAACUGGAGGAAGGCGGGGACGACGUCAAGUCAUCAUGGCCCUUACGGCCAGGGCUACACACGUGCUACAAUGGUCGGUACAAAGGGUUGCUACCUAGCGAUAGGAUGCUAAUCUCAAAAAGCCGAUCGUAGUCCGGAUUGGAGUCUGCAACUCGACUCCAUGAAGUCGGAAUCGCUAGUAAUCGCGGAUCAGAAUGCCGCGGUGAAUACGUUCCCGGGCCUUGUACACACCGCCCUUCAUACCAUGGGAGUUUGUACAGUCAGAAGUAGGUAG
RNAcentral lists this ribosomal RNA (1037 nucleotides) under Acinetobacter sp. ICA03Bs. RNAcentral's name for it is "bacterial SSU rRNA". It matches the Rfam family "Bacterial small subunit ribosomal RNA", at positions 407 to 1433 of the family's 1533-position model. The record is from RNAcentral. Lineage: Bacteria; Pseudomonadati; Pseudomonadota; Gammaproteobacteria; Moraxellales; Moraxellaceae.